CAUAUUACGCACAUAUUACAACGUUCCAACAAAAUCGCUAUCAAAUAAUAUACGGAAAAAAAAAAAAUUGAAACACACACGCUGUCAAAAUACUCCGGAGCAAAGAACCAGAGUUUCUUCUUCACACGCUUCACUUUACUCCGCAAAACUCUUCCACUGUCAACACUUACCUUCUCACGGCGAAACCCACAGCGGCGAUUUCCCUUCUCACGGAGGAGAAUUCCCUUCUCACGGCGGCGUGAUCCCUUCUCACAUCGAAACCCAUGGAGGCGUGCUUCCCUUCUCACGGCGAGAGUGAAUAAUAGAAUUUGAAGUCUUUUAUCCAGGUCAUAGCAUACCUCUAAUUUCAUGAAUGUUCUCACCGCUUUUGGAUUCCAUAUCCUCAACGAAGCAUCAUAUGGGUUCAUGUCAUUCAAGCAAGUAUUGGGUGAAGCAGCGAAUUUGGAAAAAGCUUUUGUUAUCUUAGGGGUAAGGUUGCGUACAUUCGAUUUCCGACCAAGGUAAUUGGAAAUAGCCUAUAGGGGUAAGGUUGUAUACAAAUUAUUUGCCUUAACCUGGCCAUGGCGAGAGCGCGUUAGGGUAACAUUGGUAUUUGAAACAAUUGGUUGAGCAUAAGAGUUUGUGUUUUUUGAUUGGUUGUAAUGGUGCAGAUAUUGGCUGGCCUCUUGAAAACAAAUGAUGGGAAUGUUUAUGUUAAGAAGCCAAAAAACUUUGUAUUCCAGAACCCAGAUCAUUGGGUUAGUUUUGGGUCUUGUGGCUGGCUUAUUUUGUAUGAAUAAAGUGAUGUUUGUGCUUGGUUUUGUUGCUGCAUUAGUUAAUGAUCUCAUCUUCGCAAGUUCUCCAUUUCACGUGUGAUCAUAAGAUCAUCUAUAUGAGCCUUAUUAUAUGUUGAGUAUAAGAAUCAUAACUAUGAUACUGGGAAAGUAUUCAUGUCUGAUCAUAGCUGAAAUAUGUCACUUUUGAAUUAAGACCAAAGAUUUACUUGAAUUCCUGGAUUUACGCAUACAUCUGAAUCUGAUUCUAAUGCUGGAGGCCUAGUAAAUUUUAAUUGUAAAGAACGAAAUAUCAAUGAUCUGUUAUAUGUGAUGAAGAAUCAGAUGGUCGCUUGGAGAACUAAAUGCAUUUGAAAGUCAUGAAUAUGCUCGAAAAUAAUUUAUGUAAAGACGAAAUUGAUGUGUUGAUACUUCAAAGGUCUCUCCUAUGUUGUGGAUGCUGGCAAGAAUAUUUGUUAAGAUAUGCGGAGUUUAAUAACUAUUUGAGUUAUACCAAAACCAGGAACUUUGACCACCAUUUCUGAUGAUUAUUAAUCUUAUUGUUUCUUAGUUUUUUCUCCUUAAUCCAUAGGUUUCGUUUUAUGUAUCUUACUGAGUUCCUAGUUUGCAGUUGACGUAUAGAGGAGUCACUUGCAAAUCUGCCUAACAGUGAUUGCUUCUGUUCGGUUUGAAAAUCUGUUAGUGUGUAAUUCUCUGUUAAGCUUCUCAAAUAAAAAAAAAUACUCCUUAGGUUUCUGUCCUUCUUGUCAGAGACCGAGUAUUGGCAAGUAAAACUAUAAAAAAAUGAAGGAUCCAAAUCAGCGGCUUGGUUUAUUGAAUACCGAAUAGAUCAUAACUUGUGUAUGGUAUUGGUUGCUGAGGCUUUCCAGUUUCCAUUAUGUAUUUCAUAGAUUUUUUUGUUUUUUUACAGACAUGAGAGUGUAAUCCGGGAAAAACACUAGCAUGGAACUUUCUAUCUCUAUUUACUACUUCAGGCUAGCUGUUUCUAGAAGUGAGUUUGAUUGCUUUUCUUCUUCAAGGAAAUUAUGCAAGUGAGACAGAAGCUUUGACUCGUACUUUUUCCAUCUCUGCAAUCCUAGUUGGUUUCGAUCAUAUAAUACUCACAAUAUAUAGGUUGUGAGUAUUAUGUGAUUUCAUUAUUUGGUUCUUAAAUUUUCCAGAUUUCUGUAGUAGUUGAAGUGUUCAUACGUCUUGUAGCCGGAGAGUUCAGAGAUCUCCUAAACUUUGGAAACCAAAGUCAAGCAAUAUUUUUGUAACAAGUAGUAGUUGCGGGAUCCUAUUUCCUUAGUCGGUGAUCCGUACAACCCCGUCAUAUCUACAAGAGUGAAAAAGGGAAUAAUAUCAACAAAUACUAGCUGUGAAAUAUUCGUUGUUCUUGUUUUGCUGUGUAUGUGUGUCAAACUGUAGAUAAAUCAGAGAAUGAAGGUGCAGGGCAUGUCCGCAAGUAUCUAAGUUAAAGGAUUGGUUCGUACUGCAUAAUUUAGUAACUAAACUGAUGGCACAUUUUUGUAUGUCGUGUGGCCAUCAGUUUUGUGAUGGAUAAUUUUAGAUCUGAUUAGUCUUGGAUUUUUGUUCUAUGUUGUUCUUUUAAUUGCAAUUUUCUAAUUCUUGGGGAUGUAUAGUCAGGACAACAGUUAACUUUGUAUUGAGAAUAUUUCCAAUUUGUAUUUAUGAUGUUUAAUCUUGUUUCUACAUCCCUUUUGAAUGGCCUUUUCUCAUAUUCUACUGCUUUUAGAUAAUGUUGUUUCUUCUUUCGCUGCAGUUGUUACACUCUUGUUGGCGACUUGGUGUUGUUGUAUUAUUAUGAAUUAUCUUCGAUCUAUGCUUUUGUUGCAGUGUAUAUAUAUUGAAAUCAUUUCUUGUUCCUGUGCUGCAAUGGAUAUUGCCUGAUCAGUGCCCUCAUAUUAUGUAUUAAGAAGUACGCAAAUAUGGAGUGGGUUUGGCUCUUUAUUCAACAAUGCGAAAAGUUCUGAUACAGCUCAUCUAUGUAAGUGUGUGUUUUCUUUCAAACUCUAGUAGUAACAAUCUGCACCUCAAAUUUUGUUUCUUGGCUAAAUAUUAUACCGGAGUAAUCAGCUUAAUAUAGUGUUGACACGAUAUGAAUUUUGUGAAAUGUGGCUAUUUUUUAUUUUAUAGAUGAAUCACAAUUCACUCAUUGACUGUGUAUCUCACAACUCACUAGUUGAUUCUUUUAUCCUUAAAGAAGCAUGGUUGUUCCGUUUCCUUAAUUUUUCCGUGUGAGAUGUUAGUGAUGAGAGAAAUCCAAGGAGAAGAUGCUACAAUGUUAGAAAACGAGAGAGUCAAGUUGUUAGGUAAGGGUUUAAAUUUUGAUUCUUUGAUAAUAGAAUAGCAAUGCACUAAAUUUCUUCUAACUCUUACUGGAGUUUAGCAUUCAGAUUUAUUAAAAGUAGUUGUUGGUGCUACUGCUUGCAUUCAGUAUCAGAUCAGUAAUUCAUUUAGUAGUACAACUUAAUAUGUUUCUGGAACUCUAUAUAAAUAACAUAUAUUGAGUGUGGCACUUUGCCUUAUACCGAUGAAUGAAGUUUGCAGCAAAAAUCAGAGAACAAUUAGUACAACUCGAUGACUCUAAGUCCUAACCGUAUGUUUGAAUUAAGGUGAUUUUGAAAAGAAUAAGGCACUAUUAUUCUGAACUUUGUUUGGCGAAACUGAAUUGCAUUGGAAUUAAAAUAAAGUCGAAAACAACAGGGUCUAAGAGGGUUAUUUUCUCUUCGAAAGGGUGACUUUAAUCGAAUAUUAGGUGGCCUUUUGACAGAAUAUAGACUGACUUGCUUCAUUCUAUUUUACCUGUCUAAUCCUUUGUGAAACCUACUCCAGGAUUUUGUUUGGUGAAUUGGAUAUGAAGUAAAAUGUCUGCCUGUUUGCAGCCAAUGGAAUAAAUAGAAACACAGUAGACAAACAAACUCUAGUCUGUAUAGAAAAUAUACAUCCUUUGCCGAAAAUGUAAAAUAGUAUGUUUAGAGGAAAGAAUCUUACACAAAUAUCCAAUAAGAUACACUGAAAUAGACGGACAUUUAAAUCAAAGAUACUCUGAAAUUCAAGAACUAGGGAGUAAUUUAGAAGAAUUUGAUGUUUUCCUGAAUAUGAAGUUAUCACAUUUGUCAAAGGUCUUUUGUGGAAUAAAGUCUUGGCUUUUUUUUAUUUUGUUUGAUAUCUAUCCAUGCAGGAGUCUAUGGAAAUGGAUGCUGGCUAUUGUUUCUUGAAGUCUAGAAGACUGAAUGUUAGGAUGAGAUUGUUUGAGGGUGCCAUUUUUUUUUGUCCUGGUAUACUGAUUCCUGUUCCGGUGACCUUUGUACUAAUAUUCUCUAAAGCGUGAGAUCAUUGUUGUUUUAACUAAUUUUGCGCCAAGUUUGGACAGGAGGUUUACUUAUGCUGCUGCAUGUUUGUGGUUUUUAUUAGUGAUACGUUUUGUGUGGAUUCAGAAUUAGAAUGUUUUUGCUAAUGAAUAUGCUUGAGAUGUCUUGUGGGAACUAAGGUUCUCAAGUUGACUUGCUUAGUAGUAUACAAAGGGUUAGCUUGUAACAGAUGUUACUAGAGCACUCAUCUAUACACGGUUACACUUUUAAGUGUCCAACUCACCUGUAUAACUGUAUUCCAUGUUUGGUCCAAAAUGUGAGCACAACUAAACUUGACACUUCUCGAGUUCAGCUUCGGCACAUAUUUAGAAUUUAGUAUCUUUUUCCUUUUUUUUGUUCAACUCCUACGUUAUCUACCUAGUGUUUCGAAAUGUUGAUUUUGAUUUGUGUAUAAUUGACCUAGUUUUCCCCUUGUGACCCAAGCAAGCUCAUGGUUACUACUGCUGAUUCCCAGGUCCGGAUACUUAAAGGGGUUAAUGUACUAUGUAAAUAUAAAGUCUUCGAAAUGAAGGAAGCCAAAUCUCAGAUGGAAAACACAUUGUCUUGGUGAGUGAAGACUCUUCUGUUUAUGUAUGGGACUCCAAUAAAUCAGACACAGGUCGCACAACAAUUUCAUCUCACUUCCAAAUGUGAAAUUCAUUUUUUUUUUCUUCAUGUAUUGCACUUAAUGUUAAUAUAUUUUUUUUCCUUCUAUAUAUGUAUGAAUUCUUAUACACCAUUGUUUCGCAGUUCUUUUUAGAUUGUUAGUUGACAAAGAGCAGAUUGACGAAGUAAGAACCGAUUGGGUGCGCAAUGUUGUUCAACAAUUGUAUAAUUGUUGGGUUAUGUUGAAGGAACCAACAAACAUAAGAAUCUAUUGAAGUAUUGAUUAAUGUAUUCUACGACGUAGUUUAAUUUUAGUUUUGGUUUAGAUCUAUGUAAUCGGUUUUAUUAGGGUGACAUUGUCAAAAUUCUUUUAAUUGAGGUAUGGAUAUUAAUUUUUAACUAUUUACUAUUUUUCAA
This is a long non-coding RNA of Spinacia oleracea (spinach), 5149 nucleotides long. RefSeq lists it as uncharacterized. The record is from RefSeq and is a predicted model, not a curated record. Lineage: Eukaryota; Viridiplantae; Streptophyta; Magnoliopsida; Caryophyllales; Amaranthaceae. The transcript is spliced from 3 exons.